UCCCUGGUGGUUCAAUGGUUAGGACUCUGUGCUUCCACUGCAGGAGGCAUGGGUUCAGUCCCUGGUCAGGGAA
RNAcentral lists this transfer RNA (73 nucleotides) under Bos taurus (domestic cattle). It matches the Rfam family "tRNA". Rfam says of the family: Transfer RNA (tRNA) molecules are approximately 80 nucleotides in length. Lineage: Eukaryota; Metazoa; Chordata; Mammalia; Artiodactyla; Bovidae. The record is from Rfam by way of RNAcentral. RNAcentral also lists the same sequence under 3 other names.